This 742-nucleotide ribosomal RNA is filed under the name uncultured bacterium. RNAcentral describes it as "bacterial SSU rRNA". It matches the Rfam family "Bacterial small subunit ribosomal RNA", at positions 8 to 796 of the family's 1533-position model. The record is from RNAcentral.
AGAGUUUGAUCCUGGCUCAGAACGAACGCUGGCGGCAGGCCUAACACAUGCAAGUCGAACGCUCCAGCAAUGGAGAGUGGCAGACGGGUGAGUAACGCGUGGGAACCUUCCCAAUGGUACGGAAUAGCUCAGGGAAACUUGAGGUAAUACCGUAUAAGCCCCUAGGGGGAAAGAUUUAUCGCCAUUGGAUGGGCCCGCGUCGGAUUAGCUAGUUGGUGAGGUAAUGGCUCACCAAGGCGACGAUCCGUAGCUGGUUUGAGAGAAUGACCAGCCACACUGGGACUGAGACACGGCCCAGACUCCUACGGGAGGCAGCAGUGGGGAAUAUUGGACAAUGGGCGCAAGCCUGAUCCAGCCAUGCCGCGUGAGUGACGAAGGCCUUAGGGUUGUAAAGCUCUUUUGGCGGGGACGAUAAUGACGGUACCCGCAGAAUAAGUCCCGGCUAACUUCGUGCCAGCAGCCGCGGUAAUACGAAGGGGACUAGCGUUGUUCGGAAUUACUGGGCGUAAAGCGCACGUAGGCGGAUUUGUAAGUCAGGGGUGAAAUCCCGGGGCUCAACCUCGGAACUGCCUUUGAUACUGCAGAUCUCGAGUCCGAUAGAGGUGGGUGGAAUUCCUAGUGUAGAGGUGAAAUUCGUAGAUAUUACACAGAACACCGAUUGCGAAGGCAGCUUGCUAAACUGUGAUUGACGCUGAUGCACGAAAGCGUGGGGAUCAAACAGGAUUAGAUACCCUGGUAGUCC